RNAcentral lists this long non-coding RNA (744 nucleotides) under Ananas comosus (pineapple). Its description in RNAcentral is "long non-coding RNA (ACOM_LNC010091)". The record is from RNAcentral. Lineage: Eukaryota; Viridiplantae; Streptophyta; Magnoliopsida; Poales; Bromeliaceae.
UUUGUAAGGACUGAGAUUUUUGCAGUGUAGCUAAACUCUCAGUUGACGAUGUUUUUGUGUGUAAUUUAAUUACAAAAGCACUCGUCAAGUUUCGGGCGAAAACGAGUUAAAACGGAAAUUCUACGCGAUUUCCAAGUUUCACUUAAAGUGAAUAGUAACACUACAACAAAAACGGUAUAUAGCGACACUUUUAAAUGUCGGUAUAGGUCAAAAAAAGUGUUGCUGGCUAAAUUACCGACACUUUUUAAAAGUGUUGCUAUAUGUGGCGUCGCUAGGUAUAUAGUGACACUUUUUAAGAGUGUUGGUAUAACCUAAAAAGAGUGCUACUAAUAUACCGACACUUAUUUAAGCUUUUAGCAGCACAUAAAAGUGAUGCAAAAUAAUAUUCUAGCAACACUUUUUUUUAAUUUCAGCGACACUUUAUAAAUGUCCCAUUUUUUUUAAAUAUCCAAAUUUUUCUUGAUGCAUCACACUUUUUAAAAUAUAAUACCACUCCACGAUGAUUAUCAUUAAGCAUAUCUUUAAUUUUAUUCGCCUUGAUUUGCAUUAACAAAGAAAGCAUAUAAAAGAAGUUUUGUAGUUAUACUAAUUAAUACAAAAAUAUCUCAAGGUAUUAUCCAUAUAUCUUUAAACGAGUAUUUAGUCACUAAAUCACAGUACCAACAAUUUCUAGCUUUUCAACCCAAGAGAAAGAGAAAUGAAAACAAAAGCUAAUAAUAUCAUAUCAGAUCUAGUCGUAGUGAG